AGAACGACUCUCGGCAACGGAUAUCUCGGCUCUCGCAUCGAUGAAGAACGUAGCGAAAUGCGAUACUUGGUGUGAAUUGCAGAAUCCCGUGAACCAUCGAGUCUUUGAACGCAAGUUGCGCCCGAGGCCUCCCGGCUGAGGGCACGCCUGUCUGGGCGUCACGC
Molecule: ribosomal RNA, 164 nt
Filed under: Fagopyrum tataricum subsp. potanini
Lineage: Eukaryota; Viridiplantae; Streptophyta; Magnoliopsida; Caryophyllales; Polygonaceae
Description: 5.8S ribosomal RNA
Rfam family: 5.8S ribosomal RNA
About the family: 5.8S ribosomal RNA (5.8S rRNA) is a component of the large subunit of the eukaryotic ribosome.
Source: RNAcentral